RNAcentral lists this RNase P RNA (326 nucleotides) under bovine gut metagenome. Its description in RNAcentral is "Bacterial RNase P class A". It matches the Rfam family "Bacterial RNase P class A". Rfam says of the family: Ribonuclease P (RNase P) is a ubiquitous endoribonuclease, found in archaea, bacteria and eukarya as well as chloroplasts and mitochondria. The record is from RNAcentral.
GAUAACCGCUCCCACCUAGGUAUAGGUUCGGGGGAGGAACUUCCGGACUCCACAAGGCAGUGCGCCGCCCGAAAGGACGGAACGGCGGGGCUAUAUCCCCGUUGGAUGGAAAGUGCCGCAGAAAAUAAACCGCCCGCAAGGGUAAGGGUGAAAAGGUGUGGUAAGAGCACACCGCGCAACCGGCAACGGUUGCGGCAAGGUAAACCCCGCAUGGAGCAAGGCCAAGCCGGUCCACACGUUGCCCGCGUUCGUGACCAAGUAGGCCGCUAAGAGUAAUGGUUAUCACAGCCCGCAAGGGUUGACAGAAUCCGGGGUAUCGGCCGUCC